Seriola aureovittata is the source of this 252-nucleotide long non-coding RNA. RefSeq lists it as uncharacterized. The transcript is spliced from 3 exons. Lineage: Eukaryota; Metazoa; Chordata; Actinopteri; Carangiformes; Carangidae. The record is from RefSeq and is a predicted model, not a curated record.
AAGAAAUAUGAGAAACCCCUUUUGAUUUUUUUUUAUCCGUGGACACUUCCGGACUGAAGGAAUCACCUCCUGCUGGUUUACGAUGCCGACGCUGUUCAUCAAGACCCGUCGUGAGCGACUCAAACGUGGGCUACUUCUCCCCAUUUUUCACCUUCAGCUGCAGCAUGUGUGUUUGUGCGAGUGAGGCCUCAAUCCAUAAUUCAACAUGUGGUCCAGGUACUUUACGCUCUCCUGGCUCUCCUGGCUCUCCUG